This 792-nucleotide unclassified non-coding RNA is filed under the name Hevea brasiliensis (rubber tree). Lineage: Eukaryota; Viridiplantae; Streptophyta; Magnoliopsida; Malpighiales; Euphorbiaceae. The record is from RNAcentral.
GGGACAAUAAUGUCUUCAACAAAUUUUGCCAGUUUUGAUUCAGCGACCUUGCGAUUCUUCAGUUUCAAACCCAUAUCCAUAGACUUUUCCUGGAGAAUCUUGAUAUCUGAACUUAUAGAACCAAUCUCAGCCUGAAAUCCACUAAGAAGUGUUUCCAUCUGUGAUAAAAUGCUGUCACAGUCGCGAAUUUGAUCAUGAAGAGACACUAGAUUAUCACUUUCUUUUAUGUAAUCCUGAAUUGAGUCUAAUUCAACUUGUCGUAAAUUGUUCUCAACCCCCUUUGUAUGGUCUCUUAAUGUUAUGCCUUUAGACAGUAUGUUUGCAACGACAUCAUCAUUUUUGCAUUCUUGCAACUCUUGCUCAAGUCCUUCCAAUGAGAUUUCAUCACUGCUGGCGUCCUCCUCAACAGUUAGGUCCCCAACAAACGCACCUAAAUCAAACACAUUUCUCGGCGUAUAAUUCAUGACACCUCGAUAUUGACCCCUGAUGGAGCAGGAUCAAGUUCAAAACAAAUAUUGAGAAGUAAGCUGCCUUGGAUCUUCCCUUUCCCUCUGUAUUCGCGGUUUGGAAUCUAGAUCGGUCGUUUCUGGCGUUUGGAAUCCUUUUCUCAGCGUUUGGAAUCGUGUACAGCAGUCCUCGUGUCUUCCCUUUCUCUCUCCAUUCACGGUUUUUAGUUGUGACCGUGGUCAAGCUCACUUGAAUUGAGUCAGCGUCUGGUGAUGCGGGCGUUCUUGCCAACUAGAUCGGUCGGAAAUCGCCUUCAACGGAACUGGUUUCUCCCUCCUUUUUUUU